RNAcentral lists this ribosomal RNA (257 nucleotides) under uncultured Glomus. RNAcentral describes it as "partial 18S ribosomal RNA". It matches the Rfam family "Eukaryotic small subunit ribosomal RNA", at positions 624 to 886 of the family's 1831-position model. The record is from RNAcentral. Lineage: Eukaryota; Fungi; Glomeromycota; Glomeromycetes; Glomerales; Glomeraceae.
AAGCUCGUAGUUGAAUUUCGGGGUUAGUAGGUUGGUCAUGCCUCUGGUAUGUACUGGUCUCACUGAUUCCUCCUUCCUUAUGAACCGUAAUGCCAUUAAUUUGGUGUUGCGGGGAAUUUGGACUGUUACUUUGAAAAAAUUGAGUGUUUAAAGCAAGCUAACGCUUGAAUACAUUAGCAUGGAAUAAUGAAAUAGGACGUUCGAUCUUAUUUUGUUGGUUUCUGGGAUAGACGUAAUGAUUAAUAGGGAUAGUUGGG